UAGGUGGCCCUGCGGAGCUG
Molecule: unclassified non-coding RNA, 20 nt
Filed under: Chlamydomonas reinhardtii
Lineage: Eukaryota; Viridiplantae; Chlorophyta; Chlorophyceae; Chlamydomonadales; Chlamydomonadaceae
Description: small RNA Cre_2338
Source: RNAcentral